This is a non-coding RNA of Oryctolagus cuniculus (rabbit), 8841 nucleotides long. The record is from RefSeq and is a predicted model, not a curated record. Lineage: Eukaryota; Metazoa; Chordata; Mammalia; Lagomorpha; Leporidae.
UCAGACAGCAGGUGCCAUGGGCCAGACGCUGUCAUAGGAACUGCAAACAUUCAUUCAGUCCUCUGGACAGGGCUGAGAGAGAAGUGUGCCACUGUUACACAGAGGGGGAAGCGGACACAGAGAGGCCAAGUCUCCUACCCACAGUCAUACAGCCUGUGAGUCACAGAGGCAGGGGCCACGCCCAUGGGGCCCAGUGACAGCCGUGAUGCCCCUCCCCCCAGCAGCAGGCGUAGCUGGCCGGGCACCCCAUCUCCCCAAGACUGUGCUCUGUGCCCCUUCAACCCUGCACACCACCCUAGCCCCAACGUCCCGGACUGUAAAUACUGUGAUUAUGCGCACGGAGCGGUUCCGCAUGUUGUCCCAGGUCACGCAGGUCGUAGAAGCUGGGUUCAAACACAGCUGGCUGGGGCUCCAGAGCCUGUCUAUUCACUACUAUGGCUGGUUUUAACAAUGCACGUGAGCUGCCAACAUGGGAGAGUCAGAAUUCACAUCAAAGUCAGCAUUUCUGGCAUCUAAUGGGAAAAAUAAAAAGACCUCAAGAGCUAACAGGAGCUGGGCCACACCUUCUGCCCCGCAGCGACUGGCAGGGGCAGGGGCGUUGACCAUGCCCGGCCUUCCCUCGCUUGUAUUCACUGGUUUAUUUGGAAUGCAGACAGAGAGAGAGAGAGAGAGAGAGAGAGAGAGAGAGAGCUCGCUGGCCUACUCCACAAAUGCCCACAACAGCCAGGGCUGAGCCAAGCCCAAGCCAGGAGCCUGGAGCUCCACCCAGGUCACCCUCGUGGGUGGCAGGCACUCACUGCUUGAGCCAUCACCUGCUGCCUCCCGGGGCACACGUGAGGCGGAAACUGGAAGCGGGGAUGCGGCCGGGACUUGAACGCAGCCCUCUGAGAUGGGACUCGGGGGUCCCGAGCUGCGGCGUAACUGCCUGUUCCCACUCCUCUUGCUUUUGUGCCCACCCCUCCCUCAGACAGCCCCUCCGAGGCUAAAGCCACAGCCUCUCCCAUCCCGGUCCUCGUGAGAUAAGCGCCAGCUCCCAGUGAUUCUCAACCAAGGGGCAGUUCCCGCCCAGGGGACCCCGGGCCAUGGUGUGGGGACAGUGUGGUUGGGACAGCUGGGGAGGCCGGGUGCUGUUGGCACCCCAGUGGGUGGGACCAGGGUCUCGGCUCAGCUUCUGAGAGUGCACGGGACAGCAGCACAGCGGGGACGUCCUCGGUGCUGGCCCUGGGUGACUGAGAAGGGCUUGGGGCAGCCUCUCGUUGGCACUCCUGGGAAAGGACACAGCGGGGUGGCCUCUCAGGAUGAUGGUCAAGGAGGACUUGGGGGGGAGCCGCAGCCAGUCUGGGCAGCCCCAGGCCUCAGCAUUGCUCUGGGUGCCAGAGUCUGAGUGGCUGGAUUAAGGCCAGGGUUGGGCAUGCAUGCACCAUGCAUUUAUUAAGCACCAACUGCAUACAAAGCGGCGUGAAGUGUGGUGGGAGAAAGUGAGGGUGUGGACGACGUGGCCCUGGCCCAGAGGUGACCAGCAGAGAAGGGGUCCUGGGGAUACCGAGGGGUCUCGUUAGGCAAAGAGCGUUGCAGUCUCCCGAGCAGAGACGGGAGGCGGUCCGGCCUGGGACAGGCGCAACCUAGAACAGCAGAGGUGGCGAGCGAGGCCGUCUGGACAGGGCACAAGGUGCAGUAGCAGCGACAGUGUCACAGGCACGCGCGGAGACCAGAUGCCAUCGGCAGGUGGGAGGAGCCUGCGGAGGCAGAGGGCCUGCGACCGCGGGAGAGGGCUGCCGACGGGGGAGGCGCCCGCACCGCGCCAGCACAGCCAGCGCCCAGAAGCUAGCAUUGCAGUCCUAGCCCAGCCUGGCACAGCAAAGGCCUACUUGGCACUGGCGAAAGCCAGGGUGGGGGGUGGGGGAGGGCAUCGAGAAACAGCUGAGCAGGUGCCCCCCAACAUGCCUCUCUGGAGCCCCUGGCCACCCCCUCAGGCUCUUCAAUAUCUCAGGACGCGACUGGCGAUGUGGCAUAGCAGGUAAAGCCGCUGCCUGCGGUGCCGGCAUCCCAUCUGGGUGCCGGUUCGAGUCCUGGCUGCUCUGCUUCCAAUCCAGCUCUCUGCUAUGGCCUGGGAAAGCAGUAGAAGAUGGCCCAAGCCCUUGGGCCCCUGCACCCAUGUGGGAGACCAGGAAGAAGCUCCUGGCUCCUGGCUGUGGAUAGGCACAGCUCUGGCCGUUGCGGCCAUCUGGGAAGUGAACCAGCGGAUGGAAGACCUCUCUCUCCCUCUCUUCCUCUCCUCUCUCUCUAUGUAACUUCGACUUUCAAAUAAAUACAUGAAUCUUUAAAAAUGUCUCAGGACGCCGUGCCCGGCCUGGAGCAUCCUUGUCUCAUUUGAGCCCUUGCUCUUUCCCCUCCCACUCCAGCUCAGAGGACACGGCUUCCGGAAGCAGAUGAGGGCAGGCCCGGGCAGAAACCUCACGGCGCCCUCGUCUUUGCGCCCAGAGCGUUUCAUUUUCCUUACCUGCCUGCCUUCCUCCACUCCCCCACCUCUCUCUCUCUCUCUCUCUCUCUCUCUCUCUCUCUCUCCCCCCUUCGUUAAGGUUUAUUUUUAUUUAUUUGAAAGGCAGAGUUACAAAGAAAGAGAGAGAGAGACAGAGAUUUUCCAUUUGCUGGUUCACUCCCCAGAUGGCCACAACAGCAGGAGCUGGGUCAGGCCAAAGCCAGGAGCCUGGAACUCCAUCCGGGUCUGCCGUGUGGGUGCCAUUGGGUAGGAGUGGAGCAGCUGGGACUCAGACUGGCCCCUCGGAGGCGACUCAGGUGCCAUGAGCUGCGACCUAACUCUCUGUGCUGCUGAAUCAUUCACCGUUCACGUUCAGGUUCACUGGGCACUGGGCAGCGAGCUGAGCCCACGUGCUGGACGGUUUCUGUUGAAACGCUGGCAGGGCGUGCUGGCCUGUGCUUGUUUCUAACGUGGGUUAGUGGGCUCUGGACGAUGUGCCAGGUGUGGGCUGUGGGGGCUCGUCUCCAAUGUGGGCCAUUCCCAGGUGCCCAGGAGACAAGCCAGCCGGAGUCUCUCUUCCCAGCGUGCCUUUCCUGCGCCGCAGAGAAGAGCCGCCCUGGGGACCAGGAAGGAAGAGGCCCUAUCCCAGACGGUUGGGAAAUAACUCAGUUUGCACCUGGUGGAGAGACCUGCGCAGCGGCCUCUCCAGCUGGGGACGCGACAGGCAGCACGCGAGCCUGGCUGGGCUGCUGCCCGGGGACCUGGCAGGGACAGGCCAGGGGACCGCCGCCCCGUGGCAGGUGUCUCUGCUGUGGGAGCUGCUUCACAGAGCUGUGCCCACAGCCAAAGCUCAGCACCACGGCACUUGCUUGGCACCCACCCGGUGCCAGGUUUUUAGAUGUGUUUCCCGCCUCCGAUCCCCAAUGCAGACCCUGUGGGGGGAGGGGAAGUGCUAAGCCCCUUUCAUGAAUGAGGAAGAACGAGGCACCUGCAGGGAGGCCACACAAGGAGGAAGUGGCUGAGCUGAGGUCGGGACUUGGUUCUGACAGCUCAAAACCAAGCCUCUAACAAUCCUGUGAUGCUGCCAAACCAGCCCCGCUAACCACCCAACUACCCGACCAGGUGACCAGUCAACCUCCCGCCAGCUUGCUCAGGAGGAGCCCGGGGCGGGCUCUUGCCCUAGCUGUGCGACCUUUAGCAGUUUACUUAACAUUGCCCGGGCUUUAUUUGCCCUAUCUGUAAAAUGGAACAAUAACGCCUCCCUCUCCCUGCUAAGUGAGUGAACGCAUGCCCGUUACAGAAUUAGCAUUCAGUACACCGUACGUCUCCAUGUCAGGGAGGGGGACUGUGAGUGUUCAGAAUCAGUCUGGUUUCUAAUGGGAAGUUUACAAAUCGAUUUAUAAAGCAAAGCAGCUUUUGUUAUGAAGCCUGUGCCGGAGAGGGGGUGGAGUGGUGAACUGGUCACGCCAUCCCCGGCCAUCCCGUGCUUUAGCCACAGGGACAACAGAGUGGACCCCAGGCUCCCAUUCUCGCCUGUCUCUGCCCAUCUGGCAGGUGCACUGGGGUCUUCCAAGUGCCCCACCCACGGCCAAGUCUGACCCUUCGUGCCCAAGGAGGGGCACCCGGCGGAGAGCAGUAGCCUGGGUACCUGGAGCAGGCUGCCCGCCCAGCCUUUAGGGCCCCUGGGUGCCCACUUGCAGGGGCGUGGGCAUCGGUGGCUGCUGCUUGUCUGGUCCCAGGGCCACUGCACAAAAUGCGCCGCAUCCCAACCGCUUGCCCUGAAAACCGAGUCUCGGACCAGCGUUUGAGGUGACAAGCGUGGAGACGCUGUGGGCCUGGUGCUUUUUUUGUCCUUUUCUGGCUUUUUCCAUAUCCAGAGUCCUUCGUGGGUGACUGGAGAGACCAGCGUUCAGAGACGAGGAGGGGCGGGGUGAAGGUUUCUUUAUCGUUUUGUGUAGUUUUUGGAAAACUACAGCAAGAACGACAGAACACCGGGCGCCGUCCGUUCCCAGGGCCUGGCUGUGGCCGGCUCACCUGGGCCUCCCUGGCCUCACCUUCCUGCUGGUGGGGGGCAGGGGCUGGCCCUGCCGCCCACUGCUCUCACCGCCACCGGGCCAUUUCCCAAACGUCUGCCCAGCUGGCCAGAGGACCUGUAUUUUCCCGGCCCCAGCUACACAUUAGUUGCUCCUUGGAAACAGCACGGAAGCUUUCAAAAUUGCAGUUGUUAGACCAGGGGGAUCUUCGCGCCCGCGAAGCCUCCUGUCCAUCACAGCGCGUCCUCGGAGCUCGUCUGCCCCCAGCCCGGACCCGGGGAAGUGGCAUUUUGCAGUGUGUGCACGCGGCUGCCAGGGGCGUCACCUCGCCAGGGGCGUCACACCUCGCCAGGCCCGCGUGUCCCUAAGGGGCUGGGGGGCGGCCCCCGCCGUGUGCGCCUGCGCACCUGUGCACAUUUCCUUUGUCGGCUUUAGUAGCGCAAAGUGCCUGGCCCCUGCUGGAGACCCUCGCAGUCCCCCUCCCCGGAAGAGAGGGGCUUGCCAGUGUCUCCUUAAACAGGGCAAGGCUCCCGCCUACAGCCACUUCCCUUCCGCCAAACGCUGAAGACUCUAGGGAGGAGACAGCAGAGGGAGGGGAGGCUGGGGCAGCGAGUGGAAGGGGAGGGGCUUCACGAUCUUGGCUACAAACGCUGAACUUCUCUUUGAGUCUUCUUGGGUGCCUGUGUAGAGCCAGGGCCCAGCUAGGACGUGAGGCAGGGGCUUGGCCCCUAAAUUCCACGUGCAGAAGCGGAAGCCACGGCCGGGGACUUCAUCACUCAAGUCCUCGCUCAGAGCCCAGCUUCAGGUUCACAGUCUCAACCACCGACAAAUCUCCCGCGAAACGCAGGCCGGGAGGGCUGUGGCCUCUGUCAGCGGGAGGGGACCAGAGGGGACACAUCACCAGGCGUGGCUGCGGCCCCGAGGCCCUGGGCUCCCUGACCCUUGCUUUUGGCCACCUGCCUUGCUGGCUGCAUCUGUGAACCUGACCUGGUGGAACAUUCCACGUUCCUGACCUUGGCACAGAGGUCUUUGGGUCCCUGAGUCUCUCAUUCGGCACACCUGCUCGGGGGCUCCCGGUGACAGCCCCUCAGGCGACAGAGCUGAGCCCCGGGUGACAGCGAUUGGCUGCAAACCAGCGUCUAGGGGAGGGGUCCGGAGCAGUUGGCGGCCUUGUGUGCCUCGCCCGGGCGCGGGGGACGAGCUGGCAGGUGCCGUGAGGAUGCUCACACGCGGGCCAUUCUGGGACACGCUCGUGGUUGCGGGGCUGGGAGCUCUUCCUGCCAAGGGCUGUUUGGGUACUGAUAACACCAUCCGCGGCCCAUUCACAAUUACCCACUUGAAAACGAGCCUGUUUUGGAUGUGCUGAACUUCAAGCGCUGCCUGUGGUCGCCUUGGCAGGGGCCCGCGGGCCUGGUACUUUCCACGGGAUGGACGGCCGCCAGGCGGGCUGAGGGGGACGAGGAUACAGGGUCAUUCGUCCGACGAAUAGCUACGAGAAAAGCCACCAGGUGUCAGGCUCUGGGCGCUAAGCCCCUGCCCCGUGUGAGGCUUUGGGAGCUGACGCUGAGCUGGGAGCGCCAGCCAGCCUCUCCCACCACUGCUUUCCCUGUCUGCCAGUCCCGCACCCCUGCGUGUGCGCGUGCACCUGCACCCCUGCACGGCCCUGCUGUUCCCUGUGAGCUGCAGGUGCUGUCUCAGGCCCGCAGGCUCCCGCCCCUUCUCCCAACGCAGCAAGGCCCCCUCGGCUUCCUCGGGUCCGUCCACGACUUCCCAAACCCGCGCAGUUUUCAGCUUCCUGUCCUCAGCCCCCAUCUGCCGACCAGAAGCUGCAGGACCCGGAUGAAGCUUCGGCUUGACCUGCCGGACCCCGGACUGCACAGCGCGCUGGCCGCACAGCCGCCGGGGAGAGAGGGCACGGGACUGGCAGCCCGCGGGAGCUCGUCCCUGGCUUGCGCCGACCUCCCGGCUUCUGCCUCUCGCUUUGAUCAGGGGAAGUUGGUGAUGGAGUGUGACAGCGCGGCUUCCGUCCCCCUGUGGCUGAGCCACGUCCCCGAUUCCCUUUCUGUGCCGGUGAUCGUGGCGUGUCUUUGCUUCCAGAGAUGAACACGAGGAUGACGAAGCCGGCGUGUGUGGGUGGAAGGAGCCCCGGGGACAGGAGCGGGGCGCUGGUUCCCCUGGGCGAUGCCUUGGCGCUGACACCUGUGCGCACCUGCGGGGCUUCCACCCCCAGGUACCAUUCAUGGAGCACCGUGCUCUCUCUCUGCCUCCUCGGGCAGUGGGAGCGGUUCUUUCCCCACGAGGUCCACAUCACCGACAUCUCCCCACUUCACACUCGCCUCCUCCCCAGUGCACCUGCCACGUGGUUCACAGGGUGUGACCUUGGCCAGCCCCUGGGGUGAGCCGGGUUAGUUUAUUUUUUUUAAAGGAAGAUUUAUUUAGUAUUUAUUUGAAAGAGUUACGAGCUGGGGUGGGGGGUGGAGAGAGCUUCCAUCCACUGGUUCGUUCCCCGAUGGCUGCAAUGGCAGGGGCUGGGCCAGGUGGAAGCCAGGGGCCUGGAAUGCCAUCCAGGUCUCCCGGGUGGAUGCAGGGACCCAAGGACUUGGGCUGUCCUCUGCUGCUUUCCCAGGGGAUUAACAGAGAGCUGGAUCGGAAGUGGAGCAGCCGGGACUUGAACCGGUGCCCAUAUGGGAUGCCAGAGUCACAGGGCCACAGCGCUGGCCCCUCGCACCUGCAUCGUUAUCCGGCACUUUCGAUGAUGCAGCCUAGGGAGCCCCGGUGAACUUGUAGACCCUGCGGUCCCCCUGCACAGCCCCCCCCCCCCCCCGCCUCGCUGUAACCACGUGGAAGCUCUUCCUACGGCGACGGAGAGGAAGCUCCCUGACCACGCGGGGCCCGGCAGCCUCUCGGUUCUCUCAACGCUGGCAGCUUGCUCUCACCCAUUCACUGCCUGACUCCGUGCUUACCUCACACCCCUCCCCCACACCCCCUUCCUACCAAGCCCCUUACUCACGGGACUCCCUCAGCUUCUUCACAGUCUGUCUCCCACCCCCAGCACUGCAGUGCACACACAUACACACACACCCCCACUUCAUUUCCUUGCCUGGCCAACUUCUCAGCAUUAAAAUCUCAGGGAACACGCCACCUCCUCCAAGAAGCCCUCCUUACUACGUACACCAAAGUAGCCUCCUCUUGCCCCUCUUCCUUUGCUUUUCUGCUCUAGCCUUGAGGACCCUCAGCUGCCCUAACACCACUCUUUGGGCAGACCAGGAGGGGCGCUGAGGUCACGGUCACGGUCGAGCCCAGGGGACACAGCGGCUUCGAUGGGGCAGAGGACAGAGCCUCCUGACGCUGGAGUUCACGGCCUGCAGCUGAGCACAGGGUCACGUGGGGCACCACGGCUGCUGUGAACCGGCCGAGGCCCCCGGCUCCCCUGGAAGCUGAGCCCCUGGCUGUGAUACACAUCGGCCGACGACAAGGUCACGCAUGGCCUUCGUGGCCGUCAUGUCCAGUCCUAGAGCGCUGGUGUGAUCGCAGGGGAAAGCUACUGAGAGCUGGGUGGGGGGCUCGGGCAGUGUGGGUGGGACUGGGCUGAUCAGGCUGCCGCGGCCCCGCCCCAGCCAGGGAAAGGGAGCUGAAGCUGCAGCAGAGCAUUGUGGGUGCUGACCGGCAUAGCCGCCUGGCGCCCCGAGUGCGUGCCAGCGUGCCAGGUGCGGCAGGGGAGGUGAGGACCUGCGCUGGGCACAGACAGCCACGGCCCCACGGCCGCAGCCCAGACUCCGGGGCUGCCCAGAGAGGAAGCGAGUGGGAGGAGGUUCAGGCGACAAACGCCAGGAGCAGCGGCUGCAGACUCGCCCUCCUCCUGACCCCGCCUCCGUGGCACUGGUAGAGCAGGCCGCUCGCGCUGAGUGGGUGUGAGCCCUGGGACGUUCUGAGUGGGUGUCCCUGAGGCUGAUGUGGCCGCACAGGGUCUCAGACCCUGGAGAAAGCUGCAGGGAGAGUCACUCAUGCGGUUCACUGACUGAGCGCCUGCUGUAUACCUCACCUCGUCCCUGGCACCGGGAACACACAGAUGAAGGGCACUGUGCCUGCCUUCAUGGAGCUUAGGGUCCCACGGGGCUCAGAAGGCAGGGGCUAAAGACGGGGCAAUGACGUCAGCACAGGCCGCAGCGGGACCCCCAGAUUGGAGUGAGAGGCCGAGGGUGCAGCAGGAGCUGAAGCCUGAGCCGAGACAGGAAACCACCAGUGGCCAGCGGUGACAGAGCACAUACGGUACACCAUGGAAGGCUCUUGGCCCUCGCGUCUCCAAUACACUCAGCCUUCCUGGGAACA